GUGUUGUAUGAAAGGAAAGAAGGUAAGCCUUCACUUUUUUGAGGAUGUAAGAGGUCCUAUUGUCUUUACAACACAUGAAGUUAAGGUAAUGCCACCUAUUCUAUGGCAUCCAAUCACAUUUUAUU
This is a small nuclear RNA of Sarcophilus harrisii (Tasmanian devil), 125 nucleotides long. The record is from Ensembl. NCBI's taxonomy places the organism in Eukaryota, Metazoa, Chordata, Mammalia, Dasyuromorphia, Dasyuridae.